ACACGACUCUCGGCAACGGAUAUCUCGGCUCUCGCAUCGAUGAAGAACGUAGCGAAAUGCGAUACCUGGUGUGAAUUGCAGAAUCCCGUGAACCAUCGAGUCUUUGAACGCAAGUUGCGCCCGAGGCCAUCCGGUCGAGGGCACGCCUGCCUGGGCGUCACGC
Molecule: ribosomal RNA, 163 nt
Filed under: Oryza rhizomatis
Lineage: Eukaryota; Viridiplantae; Streptophyta; Magnoliopsida; Poales; Poaceae
Description: 5.8S ribosomal RNA
Rfam family: 5.8S ribosomal RNA
About the family: 5.8S ribosomal RNA (5.8S rRNA) is a component of the large subunit of the eukaryotic ribosome. It is transcribed by RNA polymerase I as part of the 45S precursor that also contains 18S and 28S rRNA.
Source: RNAcentral